Long non-coding RNA from Photinus pyralis (common eastern firefly), 643 nucleotides. RefSeq lists it as uncharacterized. NCBI's taxonomy places the organism in Eukaryota, Metazoa, Arthropoda, Insecta, Coleoptera, Lampyridae. The record is from RefSeq and is a predicted model, not a curated record. The transcript is spliced from 2 exons.
UUAGAUAGGUACGUUACAUACAAAUUUAAGAAACUGUCUUAAUUAAAAAUGUCCCAUUAUUCGUCACUUCUCGAAGUUAUAUAGUGUAACCAUUAUUUAAAAAUGUGGAAUACGAUCGCUCUCAGUAUAUUACUUUUAUCAUCCACUGUUUUCUCUGGCAAAGUGCCCAGUGACAUUUCCGAAGAUUGGACGAAAUCGGUAAAUAAGGUAAAAAUGGAAUGUUUAGAACAAGGGAACACUACCGUGGAAGCUGUCGAUGCAAUGCUUGCAACAUGGGACAUACCCGAAUCGCUUAAUUGUUUUAUGACAUGCGUGUUUGAAAAAAAUGGAUUUGUAGAUAAGGAUGGAAAUUUUACUGAAGUACUCCUUCAACAUAAGGGUGUAACUCAGGAAAAUCUGCGAAAAUGUGAAAAUGCAGUUGAAGCAUACAACAAAGAAAGUUGUAAUAGAGUAUAUUAUUUUUGCACAUGUAUGAUCUCUUCAGUAUCCAUCAGCAAUGUUUGAUUAUGCCUUUUUGCAACGUAUGCAGCUUACAAGUACCUAUGUUGGCUUAAUAUUAAGUAAUAUAAUAUAUGGGGUGUUCAUUUGAAAACUUCCCACCACGGAUUUAUCGAAAACCACCGAUUAAAGGAAAAAGCGCCGA